Molecule: long non-coding RNA, 1026 nt
Organism: Cuculus canorus (common cuckoo)
Lineage: Eukaryota; Metazoa; Chordata; Aves; Cuculiformes; Cuculidae
Exons: 3
Source: RefSeq, a predicted model, not a curated record
CAGCUUUCUAAUCUGGAAUAUUUUUAUAGUAUGAGAAUAGCAAGGGUGACCAUCCACUUAGCCAUAUGAGAAUGGAGGAAGAUCAACAUUUGAUCUCUAAAAGCAGAGCUCCUCACUGGACUUAAAAGGCUGGUGAACAGGACCAAAUACAAGGACAAUAAGUUGACAGGAUCCUCUGAGUAGAUGCAGCUGCAGUUUUUUCCAAGGCCAUGCUGUCUGGAAAUUUGGAUGACCGUGGAGACUCAUUCUGCCUUUAAUACUUAAAACCCAAUUAUUGCCUUUCAUCUCUAUCCCACAGUUUCUACGAAAUCUCUCUGCUCAGAUCAUCCCCUUGGUUGACAGCAAAUCAUUGCAUAUCACACUGAUCUAUUAAGAUUACUGGAACAGCUGAGUUCUGCUCUUGAUCCUUUCACAGGACUGAAAUGUGCUGGGAGGGAGUCUGCCCUAUGUGACCACUGAUCUUGAACAGCCAAGAUGGAAAUGCACACUGAUCUGUACAUUUCAGUGUUUUCAAAUCCAUGAAAAAAGAUUUCUCAUGAAGAAUUCAAUGAGAGUUCUGCUUGCUGGAUUUCUGUUUCUGGAUUCACAGAAAGAAAUUGUAACUAUCAGAAGUCAAAUGGAUGAAAGCUGAUAGCCAUAGUUUCGUAUGCAUCUCCUUAUUUGAUGUUUGAACGCAUCUUAUAUCACAGUGCACAAUCGCAUCCUGCUGUUAGAGCUACUGCUUAAACAAACACAUUACCUGCUUUAUUGCAUGGUUGGAAGCAAAAGGAAUAAGUUAGUAGCUAUAAGUUUGGUAGUGCAUUCCGAAGACACUGCUUGAGUUUUAAAGGCUUCACAUUUUUUGCCUGAUUUUUGACUUGCCUUAGCCUCUUCUCAUGUCACACAGCUGGUUUCUCACUUUUCUCAGGAUAUAUGAGGGAUCCUUGGUCCUCUUCAGUUCUACAAGAAAAAACUGGUGUCAUGUACCUUGUUCUGGCCUGUAUUGCACCAAAUGAUGUCAUCGACAUACAAAAGCUUAGGACACAU